Long non-coding RNA from Tigriopus californicus, 2544 nucleotides. RefSeq lists it as uncharacterized. The record is from RefSeq and is a predicted model, not a curated record. NCBI's taxonomy places the organism in Eukaryota, Metazoa, Arthropoda, Copepoda, Harpacticoida, Harpacticidae. The transcript is spliced from 3 exons.
AUUAGUUAUUGCAAAAAGUAACGAAUUUCAAAAAAAUAAAAAUGGUACAGGUUUCGUUCAAAUAUUUUAGGAACAUGAUUGGAUUGUGUUGCUUUUGGCACUUCAGUAAAAUGAAAGGCCAAUUUACAUCUUUUGUAAGUUUUAAGAGCCAUUUUUAGUUACUUUUAGCUUUUAGAGAAAUCACAUCGAGAGACACCAACGGACAAUUAAGAUGGUUCUCAAACCAAAUAUGAAUUUAGUGUCGUUUUGUCUUGGUCUUUAUAGGACCAACAAAUUCUUUUUGUGGAAAACGAUCGUUGUCACUGAGGCAAUUCGAGGCAUCGGGAUAAGAAAACUUACCGUGGUUUUCAUCCAAAAAGCAUUGAAUAUUAUGAGAUGGAAUAAAGGGACGAUCGAUUUUACGGCAUAUUCACGUUUAUUGUGGUCGCAUGGAGUCCAGUUAUUGGCGCUUUAAUGAGAACUAUUGGCAAGUUGGGAAAAACUUCCUUUACCCAUUUGGUUUAAGAGGAGAAAACUGCUUGCCACUAUUAUACAAGCAGUCAUUCAAAGUGGGUUAUUAUGGACUUCUGCCCAAUAUUUUUGUUGAUAAGAGGGAUAAUUCUGUCGCUGGGACAGAUGCCGAAGCAAUGAAGCUCGUGGCAGAGAAAUAUCACAUGAAAUUGGAAUUUCAUGUUGGUGAAGCAGGAAGAGUGGACACAACAAAUUCAAAUGCAACUCAUAAUUUAGCACGGGUAUUCCGGGGAGAGCUUCAAGCAGCAAUCCCGGGAUUAUUGGCUUACCACAAUAGCAUAUUUUUCGACCUGUCCCAUUUCCUUUUAUUCUCGCAACUCAGAUAUGUGACCAGGGUGCCCAGAAAGACAGUGUCUUUUGGGAAUGUCAUCAAAGGAUUCGAUAUGUUUAGUUGGAUUGGAGUGUUCAUCGCCCUGACUUGUUUCUCGGUCACUUUUCAGACCAUGUUUCAGGUUUAUAAAUUCGAGCUGAAGGACAAGACAUUAUACAAUAACCCCGGAAACCCGAUUGACUUCUUUUUACUCACGUUUACCACGUUCGUCGAGCCCUAUAAAAUCAAUUGGUUUCCGUCUUGGUCUGCUGGUAAAGUGACGUGAAAUCUAUUUGAUAUUGAUCGACGGUAAACAAGUUACUUUGUGUGUUUAGGAAAAAUGUUAGCCCUUUUGUGGUCGCUGUUUGCCCUCCUAAUGGUGAGCUUCUACAUGUCCAAUCUUAGAACCAAUUUGAUUGCACCAGGGUUGGAACCGGAAAUCAACAAUCAUGAGGAUAUCCUCAAAUAUGAUAAAUUUGUUCAUGUGAAUAUCCUCUUCAUUUUUCUCUGCCAAUUUGAGGUCUCUCCAGCUUUUGAUAAGGUUCUGGACAGUGUAGACAAAAAAGAUGGUUGGUUUUCCUCAGUUCAAGAGGAUGGGAUUCUGGAACCUCAUGUAGAAGCAGCCGUCCUUAACAAUGGAGAUGCCUACCUAUCCAGCGACGAAAAUGUCCUUUACUCUUAUUUGUUUCAAAAGACGUUGGGUUUUCCCAAUUUGAGGAUCUCCAAUGAUGGGCUGUACAAUUUCUAUAUGUCGAUGCGAUUUAAGAAAUAUUCCCCUUAUACACCCGAUAUCAACCACCUGUUCACCAUGUACCAAGAAGUUGGCCUAUUUCAAAAAUUCCUCAACAAACCUAUUCCUAUUAUAGCUCUACCUUCCACAUCGGUUGGUUCUCAGCAUGAAUCGUCGGAGAAUUUGAGGAUGAGCAUGGAAAUGUUGUGGACCCCUAUAAUACUUUUGGCAUGUGGAACAUUUGCUGGUGGUAUCGUAUUGCUUUUUGAAAUUGCCAUGGCUGGUCACAAGAAAAUGGUGUGAAGAAUAUGAAGAAAUGACAAAUGAUAUAUGAUAUAUGCUACAUCUGACUAAUUAAGCACACUGGACGUGAACCUUUGUCGAACUUGUAAUGCUAUCCAUCUAAUCAAUGUGUAUAAAACAUGUAUUUUAUCUUAAUACAAGUCAUUCGGAUUCAUAUAUUCCUCAUCCUCUAGCCCUUGAGGAUUUCCUAACCACGGGUAUUUCUUUGGACACUCAUGACAGGUUGUCAUAUAUUUCUCACCACUACCUUGCAUAGUAGGAGGAAGACUGUCCUCUGCAUAUCUAAAAGAAAAAUAAAGCAUUUUAGAUUGAAUUGAGAAGGCCUUGUUUGUUUUCAAUUUUUGUCAAUGUAAUUUUUUAUAUCGAACAUCGAAGGGAGCGAAAUAAGCAAAUUUCAGGACAACACAGAUUGAAACUAUAAUUGAUGGUUUCAAAGGGUGCAACCCUGCAAUUUGCAUGUUUAUCAAAAUGACAGAGGGCAUCAUAAAAGGUCAAAUUGUCCACAGUUAAGGAUAUCAUUCGAGUUUUUUGGACACAUCAAUUACCAUCAAGCUGCUGUAAAUUGCUCCAAGUAUUACAAAAAGCUACAUGGAAUUGAUCAGGCCAAAAUCUGAACCAAUGAACGUAACACUAUCGUGAGUAACUGACAAAUGCUGCAUCCCGUCACUGUGAGUACUACUGCUUGCAAAAU